Molecule: non-coding RNA, 21 nt
Filed under: Arabidopsis thaliana (thale cress)
Lineage: Eukaryota; Viridiplantae; Streptophyta; Magnoliopsida; Brassicales; Brassicaceae
Source: RNAcentral
CAUCCAUCAAUGUAACUGGUC